CCCUUAGAUGUCCUGGGCCGCACGCGCGCUACACUGACAUGUUCAACAAGUUUCUCCUAGUUCGACAGGACUGGGAAAUCUUUGAACGCAUGUCGUGAUAGGGAUAGAUCAUUGCAAUUAUUGAUCUUGAACGAGGAAUUCCUAGUAAACGCGAGUCAUCAGCUCGCAUUGAUUACGUCCCUGCCCUUUGUACACACCGCCCGUCGCACCUACCGAUUGAAUGUUUCGGUGAAGAUUCCGGAUAGGACUGAUUUGAUUUAUUUCAUUUCUGACCUAAAAGCUAUCUAAACCUCAACAUUUAGAGGAAGGUGAAGUCGUAAC
This 321-nucleotide ribosomal RNA is filed under the name uncultured eukaryote. RNAcentral's name for it is "partial 18S ribosomal RNA". It matches the Rfam family "Eukaryotic small subunit ribosomal RNA", at positions 1470 to 1795 of the family's 1831-position model. The record is from RNAcentral.